GACGAACGCUGGCGGCGUGCCUAACACAUGCAAGUCGAGCGAGGGGAGUUUUCGGAACAAACCUAGCGGCGGACGGGUGAGUAACACGUGGGCAACCUGCCUCAUAGAGGGGAAUAGCCUUCCGAAAGGAAGAUUAAUACCCCAUAACAUUGCAAUUUCGCAUGAAGUAGCAAUUAAAGGAGCAAUCCGCUAUGAGAUGGGCCCGCGGCGCAUUAGCUAGUUGGUGAGGUAACGGCUCACCAAGGCGACGAUGCGUAGCCGACCUGAGAGGGUGAUCGGCCACAUUGGGACUGAGACACGGCCCAGACUCCUACGGGAGGCUG
This 323-nucleotide ribosomal RNA is filed under the name uncultured Bacillota bacterium. RNAcentral's name for it is "bacterial SSU rRNA". It matches the Rfam family "Bacterial small subunit ribosomal RNA", at positions 28 to 351 of the family's 1533-position model. Lineage: Bacteria; Bacillati; Bacillota. The record is from RNAcentral.